Molecule: ribosomal RNA, 393 nt
Filed under: uncultured bacterium
Lineage: Bacteria
Description: bacterial SSU rRNA
Rfam family: Bacterial small subunit ribosomal RNA
Source: RNAcentral
AUUGAACGCUGGCGGCAUGCUUUACACAUGCAAGUCGAACGGUAGAGGGGGCAACCCCCUCGAGAGUGGCGAACGGGUGAGUAAUAUAUCGGAACGUGCCCAGUCGUGGGGGAUAACGUAGCGAAAGUUACGCUAAUACCGCAUACGAUCUACGGAUGAAAGCGGGGGAUCGCAAGACCUCGCGCGAUUGGAGCGGCCGAUGUCAGAUUAGCUAGUUGGUGGGGUAAAGGCCUACCAAGGCGACGAUCUGUAGCGGGUCUGAGAGGAUGAUCCGCCACACUGGGACUGAGACACGGCCCAGACUCCUACGGGAGGCAGCAGUGGGGAAUUUUGGACAAUGGGCGAAAGCCUGAUCCAGCCAUGCCGCGUGAGUGAAGAAGGCCUCGGUGUAAG